This 446-nucleotide ribosomal RNA is filed under the name uncultured organism. RNAcentral's name for it is "partial 16S ribosomal RNA". It matches the Rfam family "Bacterial small subunit ribosomal RNA", at positions 334 to 797 of the family's 1533-position model. The record is from RNAcentral.
CACUCCUACGGGAGGCAGCAGUGGGGAAUAUUGGACAAUGGGCGCAAGCCUGAUCCAGCCAUGCCGCGUGAGUGAUGAAGGCCCUAGGGUUGUAAAGCUCUUUCACCGGAGAAGAUAAUGACGGUAUCCGGAGAAGAAGCCCCGGCUAACUUCGUGCCAGCAGCCGCGGUAAUACGAAGGGGGCUAGCGUUGUUCGGAAUUACUGGGCGUAAAGCGCACGUAGGCGGAUCGAUCAGUCAGGGGUGAAAUCCCAGGGCUCAACCCUGGAACUGCCUUUGAUACUGUCGAUCUGGAGUAUGGAAGAGGUGAGUGGAAUUCCGAGUGUAGAGGUGAAAUUCGUAGAUAUUCGGAGGAACACCAGUGGCGAAGGCGGCUCACUGGUCCAUUACUGACGCUGAGGUGCGAAAGCGUGGGGAGCAAACAGGAUUAGAAACCCGAGUAGUCCC